AUUGAACGCUGGCGGCAUGCCUUACACAUGCAAGUCGAACGUGAAAGGGGGGCAACCCCCGAGUAGAGUGGCGGACGGGUGAGUAACACAUCGGAACGUACCCAGUAGUGGGGGACAACCUCGAGAAAUCGAGGCUAAUACCGCAUACGACCCACGGGUGAAAGCGGGGGACCGCAAGGCCUCGCGCUAUUGGAGCGGCCGAUGUCCGAUUAGCUUGUUGGCGGGGUAAGAGCCCACCAAGGCGACGAUCGGUAGCUGGUCUGAGAGGAUGAUCAGCCACACUGGGACUGAGACACGGCCCAGACUCCUACGGGAGGCAGCAGUGGGGAAUUUUUCGCAAUGGGCGCAAGCCUGACGAAGCAACGCCGCGUGGGGAUGAAGGUCUUCGGAUUGUAAACCCCUGUCGACCGGGACGAAAGUACCCGACCUAAACGUCGGAGUAUUGACUGUACCGGUGGAGGAAGCCACGGCUAACUCUGUGCCAGCAGCCGCCGC
RNAcentral lists this ribosomal RNA (495 nucleotides) under uncultured bacterium. RNAcentral's name for it is "bacterial SSU rRNA". It matches the Rfam family "Bacterial small subunit ribosomal RNA", at positions 29 to 521 of the family's 1533-position model. The record is from RNAcentral.